Molecule: unclassified non-coding RNA, 352 nt
Filed under: soil metagenome
Description: partial contains 5.8S ribosomal RNA, internal transcribed spacer 2, and large subunit ribosomal RNA
Rfam family: 5.8S ribosomal RNA (bases 1-120)
Source: RNAcentral
GAUGAAGAACGUAGCGAAAUGCGAUAAGUAAUGUGAAUUGGAGAAUUCAGUGAAUCAUCGAAUCUUUGAACGCACAUUGCGCCCGCUGGUACUCCGGCGGGCACGCCUGUCCGAGCGUCAUUUCAACCCUCAAGCCCUCCUUCGGGAUGGGCCUGGUGUUGGGGCUCGGCCGCCAUCUCCGGCGGCCGUCCCCUAAAUACAGUGGCGGUCACGUCGCGACUCCUUUGCGUAGUAGAAACACCUCGCUCCGGAUAGCAACGCGGUCCACGCCGUAAAACCCCCAAUUUUCAAUGGUUGACCUCGGAUCAGGUGGGAAUACCCGCUGAACUUAAGCAUAUCAAUAAGCGGAGGA